UUUUACCUACGGGAGGCAGCAGUGAGGAAUAUUGGUCAAUGGGCGGGAGCCUGAACCAGCCAAGUCGCGUGAAGGAAGAAGGUACUUAGUACUGUAAACUUCUUUUGUCAAGGGACAAAAUCAGGCUCGAGAGCCUGACCGAGGGUACUUGAAGAAAAAGCAUCGACUAACUCCGUGCCAGCAGCCGCGGUAAUACGGAGGAUGCGAGCGUUAUCCGGAUUUAUUGGGUUUAAAGGGUGCGUAGGCGGACUGUUAAGUCAGCGGUAAAAGCCCGGGGCUCAACCCCGGCGAG
This 292-nucleotide ribosomal RNA is filed under the name uncultured bacterium. Its description in RNAcentral is "partial 16S ribosomal RNA". It matches the Rfam family "Bacterial small subunit ribosomal RNA", at positions 333 to 622 of the family's 1533-position model. The record is from RNAcentral.